UACCAUGCAGUCGAGGGGUAUAGUUCUUCGGAACUAGAGACCGGCGCACGGGUGCGUAACGCGUAUGCAAUCUACCUUUUACAGAGGGAUAGCCCAGAGAAAUUUGGAUUAAUACCUCAUAGUAUAAUGACUCGGCAUCGAGAUAUUAUUAAAGUCACAACGGUAAAAGAUGAGCAUGCGUCCCAUUAGCUAGUUGGUAAGGUAACGGCUUACCAAGGCUACGAUGGGUAGGGGUCCUGAGAGGGAGAUCCCCCACACUGGUACUGAGACACGGACCAGACUCCUACGGGAGGCAGCAGUGAGGAAUAUUGGACAAUGGGCGCAAGCCUGAUCCAGCCAUGCCGCGUGCAGGAUGACGGUCCUAUGGAUUGUAAACUGCUUUUAUACGAGAAGAAACACUACUUCGUGAAGUAGCUUGACGGUAUCGUAAGAAUAAGGAUCGGCUAACUCCGUGCCAGCAGCCGCGGUAAUACGGAGGAUCCAAGCGUUAUCCGGAAUCAUUGGGUUUAAAGGGUCCGUAGGCGGUUUAAUAAGUCAGUGGUGAAAGCCCAUCGCUCAACGGUGGAACGGCCAUUGAUACUGUUAAACUUGAAUUAUUAGGAAGUAACUAGAAUAUGUAGUGUAGCGGUGAAAUGCUUAGAGAUUACAUGGAAUACCAAUUGCGAAGGCAGGUUACUACUAAUGGAUUGACGCUGAUGGACGAAAGCGUGGGUAGCGAACAGGAUUAGAUACCCUGGUAGUCCACGCCGUAAACGAUGGAUACUAGCUGUUGGGAGCAAUCUCAGUGGCUAAGCGAAAGUGAUAAGUAUCCCACCUGGGGAGUACGUUCGCAAGAAUGAAACUCAAAGGAAUUGACGGGGGCCCGCACAAGCGGUGGAGCAUGUGGUUUAAUUCGAUGAUACGCGAGGAACCUUACCAAGGCUUAAAUGUAGAUUGACCGGUUUGGAAACAGAUCUUUCGCAAGACAAUUUACAAGGUGCUGCAUGGUUGUCGUCAGCUC
This 1000-nucleotide ribosomal RNA is filed under the name Flavobacterium araucananum. Its description in RNAcentral is "bacterial SSU rRNA". It matches the Rfam family "Bacterial small subunit ribosomal RNA", at positions 52 to 1061 of the family's 1533-position model. The record is from RNAcentral. Lineage: Bacteria; Pseudomonadati; Bacteroidota; Flavobacteriia; Flavobacteriales; Flavobacteriaceae.